Molecule: ribosomal RNA, 505 nt
Filed under: uncultured bacterium
Lineage: Bacteria
Description: partial 16S ribosomal RNA
Rfam family: Bacterial small subunit ribosomal RNA
Source: RNAcentral
GAUGAACGCUAGCUACUGGCUUAACACAUGCAAGUCGAGGGAUAACGAGAGGGAAGCUUGCUUUCCUUGUCGACGACCGGCGCACGGGUGAGUAACGCGUAUCCAACCUGCCCCCAACUAGGGAAUAACCUUGCGAAAGUAAGACCAAUACCCUAUAAUUUCCUCAGAUGUCAUCUGACGAGGAAUAAAGAUUUAUCGGUUGUGGAUGGGGAUGCGUCUGAUUAGCUUGUGGCGGGGUAACGGCCCACCAAGGCAACGAUCAGUAGGGGUUCUGAGAGGAAGGUCCCCCACAUUGGAACUGAGACACGGUCCAAACUCCUACGGGAGGCAGCAGUGAGGAAUAUUGGUCAAUGGGCGGAAGCCUGAACCAGCCAAGUAGCGUGCAGGAUGACGGCCCUAUGGGUUGUAAACUGCUUUUAUACAGGAAUAAAGUUAGCCACGUGUGGUUAUUUGUAGGUACUGUAUGAAUAAGGACCGGCUAAUUCCGUGCCAGCCGCCGCCGUAA